RNAcentral lists this unclassified non-coding RNA (246 nucleotides) under uncultured Preussia. RNAcentral describes it as "sequence contains ITS2". Lineage: Eukaryota; Fungi; Ascomycota; Dothideomycetes; Pleosporales; Sporormiaceae. The record is from RNAcentral.
AACGCACAUUGCGCCCUUUGGUAUUCCUUAGGGCAUGCCUGUUCGAGCGUCAUAUAAUUACUCAAGCAAAGCUUGGUUAUGGGUGCCUGUCCCGCCCCGUGCGUGGACUCACCUCAAAUCCAUUGGCGGCCCCCCGCCGGCCACGAGCGCAGCAGAAACGCGGUCUCGUGCCCCGGUAGGGCGGCUCCCAGAAGCAAACCCCCCAUUUUUGACCUCGGAUCAGGUAGGGAUACCCGCUGAACUUAA